UGAGAGGACCUUUCCCUAGUACGAGAGGACCGGGAAGGACGCACCUCUGGUGUACCAGUUAUCGUGCCCACAGUAAACGCUGGGUCUACGAACCUGAUGGAGAUCCAAAUGGCACACAAAAGCAUUAUUGCUCAAAAUACAAGGACUGCUCAUGGAGACUGAUAAUAACGGAUUAAUAUCUCGAACCCAUUUGAGAACCUUAAAGGAGAGUGAAGUAAAGGAGAAGAAACCCUCCUCAUGACGA
This 244-nucleotide non-coding RNA is filed under the name Macleaya cordata. Lineage: Eukaryota; Viridiplantae; Streptophyta; Magnoliopsida; Ranunculales; Papaveraceae. The record is from Rfam by way of RNAcentral.